This 473-nucleotide long non-coding RNA is filed under the name Eucalyptus grandis. RNAcentral's name for it is "long non-coding RNA (EGRA_LNC007477)". Lineage: Eukaryota; Viridiplantae; Streptophyta; Magnoliopsida; Myrtales; Myrtaceae. The record is from RNAcentral.
AAAAACCUUCCCGGUAGAUAAAAAUAAUCUUUUUUGUGAAAAUAUGAUAUUUUUAAAGGAAUUCAAUCGAUGAAUUGUAAGGAAUCAACUGAUCGGUCUAUCUAUUUUUUUUUUUGACUAUGAUUAAUGGAUACUUUUCGAUCAUGAUUCUAUUUAGACUAGGAUUCCAUUUCCAUAAGAAUUGAAUUCAAAAAUUCCUUUCGAGUUUUAGAUCUCUCAACCCCGGAGAUUGAUUAAAAAUUCAUAAAUCAUCCCAUGAAUUUUUUUUUUAUUGGAUAGUGUAUAUCUGGUAUGCACACAACACAAAAUGGGCGUUUAUUCUAUUUUCAUCAUAGAAUGAUUAUUCGAUUCUUUUUCCUCUUUUGAUCAUAAUUCAAUCAAAACUUCUCGAAUUAUCUUAAUCUGUAGGACAAAUUCUUUGAUUCUUCCAUUUCGAUGGAAUCGGAAUAGCUCCCCUUAUUCAUUAAUAUACU